RNAcentral lists this unclassified non-coding RNA (26 nucleotides) under synthetic construct. The record is from RNAcentral.
AGACAGCAUGCAUGCAUGCUGUCUUU